UUUAACUGAGCGUUCAGUUACUUGACGUAGACCCGAAACCGGGCGACCUACCCAUGAGCAGGAUGAAGCGAAAGUAAAAUUUCGUGGAGGUCCGAACCCACGAGCGUUGAAAAGCUCGGGGAUGACUGGUGGGUAGCGGUGAAAUUCCAAUCGAGCCCGGAGAUAGCUGGUUCUCCCCGAAAUAGCUUUAGGGCUAGCCUCAAGGUGAGAGA
RNAcentral lists this ribosomal RNA (212 nucleotides) under Clostridioides difficile. Its description in RNAcentral is "partial 23S ribosomal RNA". It matches the Rfam family "Bacterial large subunit ribosomal RNA", at positions 683 to 894 of the family's 2925-position model. The record is from RNAcentral. Lineage: Bacteria; Bacillati; Bacillota; Clostridia; Peptostreptococcales; Peptostreptococcaceae.